Non-coding RNA from Picea glauca (white spruce), 95 nucleotides. NCBI's taxonomy places the organism in Eukaryota, Viridiplantae, Streptophyta, Pinopsida, Pinales, Pinaceae. The record is from Rfam.
CCGACCUUAGCUCAGUUGGUAGAGCGGAGGACUAUAGUAGUGGAAAUUCCUUUACAACCAUCCUUAGGUCGUUGGUUCGAAUCCGGCAAGUUGGA